This is a small nucleolar RNA of Ornithorhynchus anatinus (platypus), 138 nucleotides long. The record is from RefSeq and is a predicted model, not a curated record. Lineage: Eukaryota; Metazoa; Chordata; Mammalia; Monotremata; Ornithorhynchidae.
CCCCUUUUUGGAUCAGACCUGGAGAGUUUCUAGUACUCUACCAGUCUUGACUACAGGAGGGAGAUUUAACCAGAGGCAUACCCAUUCCAUUCCUAGCUUGGACAGUGGCUAGUGAGUGGAAGGCAAUCUGCUACAAUU